RNAcentral lists this ribosomal RNA (481 nucleotides) under uncultured bacterium. RNAcentral's name for it is "bacterial SSU rRNA". It matches the Rfam family "Bacterial small subunit ribosomal RNA", at positions 501 to 985 of the family's 1533-position model. The record is from RNAcentral.
CUACGUGCCAGCAGCCGCGGUAAUACGUAGGGCGCGAGCGUUGUCCGGAUUUAUUGGGUUUAAAGGGAGUGUAGGCGGUUUGUUAAGCGUGUUGUGAAAUUUAGGUGCUCAACAUUUAACUUGCAGCGCGAACUGUCAGACUUGAGUACACGCAACGUAUGCGGAAUUCAUGGUGUAGCGGUGAAAUGCUUAGAUAUGACGAAGAACUCCGAUUGCGAAGGCAGCUGACGGGAGCGCAACUGACGCUUAAGCUCGAAGGUGCGGGUAUCGAACAGGAUUAGAUACCCUGGUAGUCCGCACAGUAAACGAUGGAUGCCCGCUGUUGGUACCUGGUAUCAGCGGCUAAGCGAAAGCAUUAAGCAUCCCACCUGGGGAGUACGCCGGCAACGGUGAAACUCAAAGGAAUUGACGGGGGCCCGCACAAGCGGAGGAACAUGUGGUUUAAUUCGAUGAUACGCGAGGAACCUUACCCGGGCUUGAA